Molecule: RNA transcript, 5763 nt
Organism: Folsomia candida
Lineage: Eukaryota; Metazoa; Arthropoda; Collembola; Entomobryomorpha; Isotomidae
Exons: 4
Source: RefSeq, a predicted model, not a curated record
GGCGCUCCUUUCUUUUGGUCAGUAGAUGCAGAAAAAUCUUUCGAAAUAUUGCGUUGUGAACUAUUAAAAUCGUGUAAUUUACAUUUACCUGAUUUGAAUAACCCUUUCAUAAUACAAACGGAUAGUUCAGAUAUUGGGAUAGGUGCCGUUCUCCUCCAAGAGCAAGAUAAAGUACGUUAUCCAGUUUGGUUUUAUAGUAGAGUUUUGAAUGAUGCUGAGAGGAAUUAUUCAGUUAGUGAGAAGGAGUGUUUAGCAGUUAUUCAGUCAAUUAAAAAAUUUAAAGGUUUUAUCGAGUAUUCGCAUUUUACAGUAGAAACUGAUCAUCAGGCGUUAUGUUGGUUGAUGAAGAUUAAGGAACCCACGGGUAGAUUAGCUAGGUGGGCUUUAGAAUUGCAAGGGUAUAAUUUUGACGUCGCAUAUAGGGCCGGAAAUUUGAAUCGCACGGCUGAUGCUUUGUCUCGAGCCGCAGCAGUUUAUGUAGUUGAGUCACUUCACAUUAGUAGAGAGGAGUUAGUUUCGGCACAGGAUGGUGAUUUCAUGUUAAAAUCUAUUAAGGAUUUUUUGUUAUUGUCUAUUCUUCCAAAUGUGGCGGUAGAGCAGAAGGAUAAAAUUUUGAAAUUAGCUAGAGAUGCGUUUGUCUCCUCUGAUGGUUGUCUGUAUAAACGAGUAAAUCCAAUAUCCAAACCAUGGGAAGACGACAUUAAUGAUUAUAAAGUAUGGGUGCCAGACAGUUUAAAGUUAAAGAUUUUAGAAUAUUUUCAUUGUUGUCUGUUAGCGGGUCAUUUAGCCAUUAGGAAAACUUAUUUUCGCAUAGAGGAGAGAUUUUGGUGGAAGUCAAUGAGAAAAGAUGUGGUCAAAUUUGUGUCGAGUUGUUUGACAUGUCAAAAAGUAAAGCCUGAUCGAACCGGAAGUAGUUUUUUAGGAAAAGCUGGAGAGAUUUGUGGGCCCUGGGAACGAAUUUCAAUUGAUUUAAUGGGUCCGUAUACUCGGGGUAUUAACCAGUCAAAAUUCCUUUUAGUUGUUGUCGAUUCAUUUUCUAAAUGGGUCGAGUUGUCUUGCAUACGUAAAUCGGAUGCUAAAACCAUUUGCACGAAAUUGUGGGAAUGUUUUUGUAGGUGGGGAGUGCCCAAAUCAAUUUUGUCUGAUAAUGGUACUCAAUUUCAAAGUAAAAUUUUUGAGGAUUUUUGUAAAACAGUGGGAUCUAAAUCGAUGCGAAUAUCCCCAUAUCAUGCUCAAGCUAAUCCCACUGAACGGUAUAAUCAAACAUUAAAAUCUAUGAUCGUUUCCACUAUUUCUCAGUGCAAGGACUGGGACCGUAAUUUAGCCGAGUUAAGCUUUGCAAUUCGUUCCACGGUCAAUGAAUCGACAGGGUUCUCACCAGCAUAUUUAAAUUUUGGUCGUGAGUUGAGAACCCCUCUAGAUAAUAAUUUAAGUAUCGCAUUGUCAAAGUGUGUAGUGGGAGAGGACUUUGCAAGGAGAAUUGCAUUGAUUCAUAGUUUAGCUAAAUCUAAUAUGGUCUUGAAUCAAGCAAAUUAUAUGGGAUGGUAUAACAAAGCUAGGGCAGAUUCGUCAUUUGAUGUGGGUGAUCAGGUUUUACUAAAAUGUCAUCAUUUGUCUGACGCAUCGAAAGGGUUCACUGCUGCACUUGCUCCAAAAUAUGAUGGUCCAUUUGAAAUUAUUGAGAAAAUAGGACUGUCAACAUUUGUUUUAAAAAAUAAUGAUAAUGGGGAGAUGAGAGGUAAAUUUAAUAGUAGUUUAUUAAAAAAAUUUAUUGCAGAUGAGUCUUUCGAAGAUACCGUGCGAGGAUCUCCCCGACGCCAAGACGUACCGGUCUCUACUGCGUAUGUUCCAGGGGCAGCGGAACAAACCAGGUUUUCAGCGUCACCCGAAAUUGGACCUGGUAGCGAAAGUUUGGAAGGAAGCCGGGUGUCCAAAUUUAGAACCACCACCACCGCUGCCACUGCAGAAAACAAAGACUUUCGAGGAGCGUUGGGUCGAGUUGAACCAGGAGGCCGAGACAUUGGAGCGAAAAAGGAUCCAAUUAUGGACAGAACAGGAAAAAUACCGGGCAGUAUUUCCUCCGCCACUUCCGCCGCCACCCCCACCACCACUUCACCUCCACCCCGCAAUGAAAAAGAUGACGAUUCCAGUUCCCCCAUCUCCCACCCAUCCAGAUCAACCGAACCUCAAUUACCAGCGUGGUAUUGCAGAACGUUGGGCUCGAGACAUCCAGCAAAAGCAACGUGACUCCGCAAAGCGAAAAGCGCAGUUGGAGAGAGAAUCUGCUGCGAAAAUCACAAAGUUUUCUUCAAGUUUCUCAAAAUAAUUUUGCAAUCAUCAUAUUCGAAUUAUUUGUUAUUGUAUCGAUUCAAUAUAUCAAUGUAUUCUAUUCAGCUCAAUGUUAACAAUAUGUGAAUGUCAUAAUAUGCGGUGCUUUGGGGGAGGGGGAGUGUGAUAUAUGUAUGUAUGUCCAGUUAAUAGUGAGAGAAAGUCAUUCGAGAGUAUUUUUAUAUAUUUACAUCCUGUGAGAAAGUCUGCUGAGAGUUAUUAAGUUGGCAGUCUUUGCAGCCUCGGUGCGGGCAUUUAAAUUAACUUUUAGAAGAUUUUUAUGCAUAAUUAGCGAGUAUUUAGUAGUAGCAAGUACUAGGAAAAAUGUCGUAUACCUAAUUAGUAGGAUAGCUUGUAAAUUUACGUGCUAAGUCGUAAUUAGUUAGGCUCGGGGGUUUCACCAGAGUAGUCAGGAGUUGGAAAUUCGCUACGAGAGUAGUGCGUUGCGUCCAGCUCGAGGUUGCCAAGGUGAAGCAGCGGUCAGCAGCAGCAGCAGAAGGAGUCAUCCAGUAGUAACGUAAGUCGUAGCAGUACAAGAUUUGGCUGUCCGAUCUUGGUUGUGUGUUGUUGGUUGGUUGUCCACCCUCAAUACAGAUAGGUAGUAUAUUAGAGUGGGGGUUUUCUCGUUCUUUUGGGGGCAAUUAUAUUAAAUAGGGCAAGUUUGUUUACUUUCUCAGCUGAGGCAGAAUUAAUAGUGGUCACGUCAUUGUUCUCAGUAGCUAAAGCAGACCUAGGCAGAUUUGUUGAAGUCAAUAAAUCGUAAAUUGUCAUUGGUAUUUGUAUGUGUAUUGCGUCAUUAUUUAAUUGGUAAAUAGUUAAGUUAUUUCAUCACGAGCAGUAAGAACCCGGGUAACGCGUGGGAUACGCAAAAGUGUCGUAAUUAGGGUCGGGAAGGCAUAAUUCGUCACAUUACUAACGUGUUUACGGACGGACGGACGGACAUGACGGUUCCAUAAGCCCUGCCUCGGGCUAAUAAAAAUGAAAAUUUAUUUUAUAACUCGGCCAUUUGUCGUAACCUUAUAGACGGAUAAAGUGUCAAAUAAUCUUGUCAAACUACAUAUCAACGCAAGUGAGCAAAUAAUUAAUUAAAUCGAAUUUAUUCUGAAGGUUGGUUAGCUUUUAACUUAAUUCUCAUAGCGGGUAGCGGGUACCCGUGCGGGUACGGGUACUUGUGCUGCGGGUAGCGGGUCGGGUAACGGGCAGCAUUUUCGCUACCCGCGGCAACCCUACUAACUUGUGUGCAUAUUUUCAACAUAGUAGUUAAAUAGAUAGAUAUAUUGAUUCAUGCUAUAAUAAAUUUGUCAAUAAACCCUCAAAAUGGUGUGAUAAUGCUGAUAGAUAAGGAUAAGAACCCCCAGCGCAGACUUGGUUUAGCCCGAGUCAGGGACAGAUUCCGCUUCUGAAUGUGUGUCACAGGUGAUGAUCAGGGAAUAAAUCUUGCUCGCACCGGCCCAUAAGCGGUGCGAGCAAGCUAUGGUGAGCCUAUGGGCUGGUGCGAGCAAGAUUUAUUCCCUGGUGAUGAUGUGACGUGACCAAUUAAAUACUAUCAUCUUCCGUGGUCUGCAUGGUCGAAUGUUAGUCGAAUAUCUUCUAUUGUUUGACAUCAAAAUUCUGAAGUAUUCAUAAAUUCUAGCCCUAGACUACCAGAACCAGUGGGGUUUGCUUCAAAUUUUUAAAUUCCGAAGCUGUACUUCCUACACAUAUGUACAUAAUUGACCCAUUUUGCCCACUUUCGAACUCGGCUUCUACUUUGACCCAUACUACAUGUGUGCAGAAUUUCAAAUCGAUCCGAUUAGUUUAAAGAGAGUUAUCAGGAAGACGGACAUAACAGUUACAUAAGCCCAGGUCCGGCAAAAAAUGAUGUCAUUGGAGUUUGCAGCAUGGAUAAGCUGUGUGGUUUACCUGUAAGUACAUAACAUAGCAUGUACAUAAGUCACUACACUUACAUUCGGAAUAAUAUAGAGAAAAAAAUUUGGUACUUUGUCGGUCAUGAAUAAUUGUUUCCUGAAUACUUAGUGAUAUCGGAAAUGGAGUUUUAUUGUUUUGUAUCCUCGUUGUACGUCUAUUAAUUACCAGUUUAACUAACCAUCAGGUCGAUUUUAGUUUGGGCCAUUGAAAUGUUGUGACACAAAUGUUCUCCGAAAUGCGUCAGUUCGCAAUUUAAUCUUUGCUACUCAUCUUUUCAAAUAAAGUUAUAAAUAGUGGCAGAAACGCUCCAUAACUCGGAAAUAACAUCAAUUUUUUAGACAAAAUGGGAAAAAGUAACAUGAUUUUGGUGACCUUAAUACUUAUAUUAUUAAUAUUCUGGUGUUUAAAUAUAAGCAUAAGUGUACUGAAUGUCGCAGUAGAAAACUUUAUGUUCAAGAACAAGGCUCAAGAUGUACUGGACAAACACAUUACUCAGAUAACGCCAGAAGGAUAUACAUUCAUGAUAUGGAUUCUAAUAUUUGGGUGGCUACUUGGAGGAUACAUAUUCCUGAUAAUUUGCAUGCUCAAGAGCAACAAAGAUGGGUCGGGAAAAGUUCUUUAUUCGCCAGAAGUUUUCACUUCAGCAGUGGCUGGAAUUCUCAUUCUCAAUUGUGCUUUGCACGUCUCCUGGCUCUUCAUUUGGGACAAUGACUACUUAACCGUGGCGUCUGCCACUCUUUUCUGUAUCAUGGGAACAAACUGGGUGGCCUUGGGACUAUUUUCGGCCAAUUUGUAUGAAAAUACCCAAGCUUUGCAAAAAAGCUCCCUCACGGUUCUAAACUGUUAUAGAAUUCUUCUUCAAAACUCUCUUGGAUUAUAUACGGCUUGGACCACAAUCGCAGCUCUGCUCAAUUUGUCAGUUGCAUUAGUUUAUGCAGAUGUUGCCGAUGCGACCGCGUCUUUGAUUUCACUUGGCAUUCUCAGCGGUUUGCUGGUCGUUUGGAUACCCCUGGACUUCUUCAUACUGGACAAAUACACGCGAUAUAUGAUUACACCGCUAUUUACUGUGAUUUGGGCACUUUCUUGCAUCUUUAUUCGUUUGGAAAAAUUAGAAAAUUACGAAGAUAACACUCCAAAACACUUUACGAUUGGAUUUUUAGGAAUGAUUGUAACGCUUGGAGUUGCACGAAUUUUUCUCACUGUGUUCAGGGCUAUUAAAUCUCCUCUUAAAUGAGGCUUGUACUUAUCACAAGUUCAAUCAAUCACCGCUCUCCAGUAUUUUUAAAGAUAUUAUUUAUUUAGUACAUCCUUACAUAAGUAACAAUAGUGAAAACCCCCUUUCAACGAGUAAAGUUUUUUUUUUAAAUUGCGUAUAAAUAUCACAUUUAUUCAAUUAUUGUUUUUAUAUAUAAAUCUAAACACAAGUCUUGCUGAGUAUCUCAAUUGUACUUUAAUUAAAGAGUGAUUGGAUGUGUGACGUAGGUACGAUACCGGAUUUGACAAGUAAAAGCAAGUUGUUAAAGAUGA